RNAcentral lists this ribosomal RNA (472 nucleotides) under uncultured organism. Its description in RNAcentral is "partial 16S ribosomal RNA". It matches the Rfam family "Bacterial small subunit ribosomal RNA", at positions 332 to 796 of the family's 1533-position model. The record is from RNAcentral.
UACACUCCUGCGGGAGGCAGCAGUGGGGAAUUUUGGCCAAUGGGCGAAAGCCUGAUCCAGCAAUGCCGCGUGAGUGAAGAAGGCCUUCGGGUUGUAAAGCUCUUUUGUCAGGGAAGAAACGGUGAAAGCUAAUAUCUUUUGCUAAUGACGGUACCUGAAGAAUAAGCACCGGCUAACUACGUGCCAGCAGCCGCGGUAAUACGUAGGGUGCAAGCGUUAAUCGGAAUUACUGGGCGUAAAGCGUGCGCAGGCGGUUUUGUAAGUCUGAUGUGAAAUCCCCGGGCUCAACCUGGGAAUUGCAUUGGAGACUGCAAGGCUAGAAUCUGGCAGAGGGGGGUAGAAUUCCACGUGUAGCAGUGAAAUGCGUAGAUAUGUGGAGGAACACCGAUGGCGAAGGCAGCCCCCUGGGUCAAGAUUGACGCUCAUGCACGAAAGCGUGGGGAGCAAACAGGAUUAGAUACCCUGGUAGUCC